AUACGGUCCCGUAAUUUUUAAACAUCUUACCGAUUCCUUAUCAAUUCAGAAAUUGAUAUUGAGAUAUCAGAAUAAAGAAGUUAUUUAAACAAAGGGCGUUAACGAUAAUUUAUAACACUAAAAAUGCUUUGAAAAAUACUGAAGACACGGAAGUCAUGUCAUCCGGAAAUGUUAGAAUGACAUGUUUAGGAUGCAGCCUAAUUUGUAAUUCUUAAUAUAAACUAAAAUGCAUCACAAUAUUUGGUAACAAUUCAAUUGUUUGUUAAAAAGAAAACCAUUAUCAUUGUCAAAAACAGUUCUGAGCAAUAAUCGCUUGUUUUUAAGGGUUAUGUUUACUUCCAUUGUGUAAAAACCUUGUAUAUGCCUGGGUGUUAUGCAUGAUAAAAGUUUUCAAUAAUUUUUUAUAUGUUGCUUUAUUAAAUCCAUCCUUUAUUACAUUUACUUACAUACGCAUGAUAAGGGACGGAAGACUAUUUAGAAACGAGUUAAUUAGGUAUUUUGCGGUCUUGUUUAUGCUUACUAUAGCGUUAGUGUAAUGAUUUCUAAACUCUUUCUGUUCUUAGCCUUUUGUUAAUUAUCUGGUCGAGAUUAACACUUAGAGGUAUCUGGUAUGUAUAUGUGUUAUGCUUCAUUUUUUAAUUGGCAACAUAUGUGUUACGUUUGUAGACGUGGACGUGUUUUACAACAACAAAUCGGCAUUCCCAUGAGUACCCAUUGCGAUCCUCUUCUUGUCGACUUGUUCUUUUAUAAACAUGAGGCUGAUUUCAUACGGGAACUUCUCAUGUAGGUAGAACAAAAAGAACUUUGCAGUAUCAUUGAACUUCACUUUCUGCUAAAUAGAUGAUGCUCUCUCAAUUAAUAAUUCAAAAGUUUGUGACUAUGAGGACGCAUCUAUUCCAUCGAACUUGUCGACUUGUUCUGUUCUUAAUAUUAGGCUGAUUUCAUACAGGAACUUCUAAGGUAGGUAGAAAGAAAGGAACUUUGCAGUUAACAUUUUGUGACUAUGAGGACUCAUCUAUUCCGUCGAACUUGAGAUACAGGAUACCACAUAUACAGUUAGGUCUGUCUCAUAUCUUGACUUAAAUUUAGAAAAAGACUAUCAGUUUGAAAAACAAAACUUCACGACAAAAGAGAUGAUUUCAGCUUCCCAAUUGUGAACUAACCAGAUAUGUAGCAUAUUUCCAGUAGCGCCUGCAUACAGAGUAUAUAUUUUUUCAGUUGAUAAGAUAUUGCCUUUCAUGUCAUCAUUUCCUUUAUAGAGGGUUGCUGAUCACAAUGAAGCUAAUAAAUCAAGAGCUCCAUGUGGUUAAGUUGAAAUCAUUCUUCGUAAACGGACGCCAUCACGAGUUGGUUUCACAGAUGACAACAGAUAUGUUCGAAUCAUCGAAACGACAAUCCUGACCCCUUUUCACCCAAAACCUACCAAAUUAGACUAAUCACCAGGUUGAACUAUGGCAUGUAUAGUGGUGUAACAUAAUUCAAUUGACAAACAAAACAGAAAUCUAGUUCGAAAGGUGAAGUUGUAUUGUUGAAAUACUUAACAAAAUUGGUUCAUCAACAAAUGUAUACUAUACAUGUAUCAACAGAAGACAGUUUAAAGAGUAGACAAUGCCAUAACUGACAUUUAAUAAAACUGUACAAACAAAAUUGAAAAGUGAUUUAAACUGACAAACGGAUGGGACGUUCAAUAACACAUGUAAUGCAUUUGAUUGCAAUCAGAAAAUAAACUAAGGAUGAAGCAUCCAAUGAAGAAGGACUAAUUUGUCGAAAAGAAUAUUAUUAUGUGCUUAAUGUUAUGGGACAUUAUUUAGUUUAAUCAGUACAUUAGCUGAUCUCUGAUGGGAAGUUGCGCUAUUGACAAUGACCACCUCUUUUUAUUUUUAUACAAACACUAAUGAAGUGUACAUGUAGCACUUACUAUGACGUAUUGUAUGGUUUAUUGACCAAUGUUCUUUCAAUUGAAACUAAUAUCAUUAUUGUGGCAACAGACAUUUUUUUUCAUGAAUAUCUUAUAAUAACAUGGUAUAACAUUAAAAAAAUAAGUUAACAUCUUCUGUACACGUAAUAACAACGAUUCCCCGUAUGUAUGACAUUGUUUAAAGGCCAUGUACUCCGAUUUUUUUAAAUUUUUCUAAAUACUUAGUUUUAAAAAUGUAACAUAUAUCAGGUCAUCAAAAUUAGAAAUAAAACUAUACACAUAUCUCUCAUUCACAAAUUAGAGAACAGAUUAGGUUUAAUAUGAAUAUAUAGAUUAUCCUUGCAAUGCCUUAAAUUCAGCAUUGACACAAACAAAUUUCCCAUGACUAAACAUGACAUAAUUUGAAGCACGCUUCUAUCCAGACUGUUGACCUUUUACCGUAAAAAUUCAAUAUAUUCAACGGAAAUUGAUGCAAGCCUGCGCAUUGCACAAUGUAUGUAAAUACAUGUUGUAAUAUAAAUUAUAUACCUAUAUACGUAUUAGUAAAGUUCUUAAAUUAUCAAUUUUCCAUUAUUAAUUGAUCGUUUUAACGUCAUUGCUCUCAAUUUAAUCAUUCAAACGGAAUCCUUAAAUGAUGAUCAAAAGGUAUUUUUUAUGGACCAAAAAUGACCGAGAUUGUUUGUACUGCACUAUCAUUUUAUAAACGCAUUUAUGGUACAACUCGUGGUAUACGGAAACACGCAGAGCAGAUAAAAGAGGUGUUUUCUCCGUUAUACUAUAUUUCUAAUGUAUACAUUUAGAUACAUCUACAUUAUAUUAUAAGUCAGCUUUAUUUUCUUUACAUUACGAAUACGUGACUUUUGAUAUCAUUAAAAUUAAUACAGCGAUUUGUGCUUUUUUUUUUUAAA
Long non-coding RNA from Mytilus californianus (California mussel), 2826 nucleotides. RefSeq lists it as uncharacterized. The transcript has 3 exons. The record is from RefSeq and is a predicted model, not a curated record. Lineage: Eukaryota; Metazoa; Mollusca; Bivalvia; Mytilida; Mytilidae.